This 274-nucleotide ribosomal RNA is filed under the name uncultured bacterium. RNAcentral's name for it is "partial 16S ribosomal RNA". It matches the Rfam family "Bacterial small subunit ribosomal RNA", at positions 523 to 796 of the family's 1533-position model. The record is from RNAcentral.
AUACGGAGGGUGCAAGCGUUAUCCGGAAUCAUUGGGCUUAAAGGGUCCGUAGGCGGGCAAUUAAGUCAGAGGUGAAAUCCCACAGCUCAACUGUGGAACUGCCUUUGAUACUGGUUGUCUUGAGUUAUAGUGAAGUAGAUAGAAUGUGUAGUGUAGCGGUGAAAUGCAUAGAUAUUACACAGAAUACCGAUUGCGAAGGCAGUCUACUAACUGUUGACUGACGCUAAUGGACGAAAGCGUGGGGAGCGAACAGGAUUAGAAACCCCUGUAGUCC